AACACUUGAGCGCCAUGUUUGCAAGCAAGGCAAAGCAAAACAUCACAAAACUCCUCCUUCCUCGUGAAAUGGGUUGUGGGGGAUUAUCUGAAAAACUGUCCAAGUUUUGAAAACCUACCAGAAAUAGUAGACCAUCCAGGCUUCUGUUUCAAAGAGAGUGAAAUCCAGCGAGACUCACACGCCUUAUAAUCAGUCUCAUGCCUCAGACACAGAGACCAGUAUCCAUUCUCAGGGCAGGCUGUAAUCUUUCCCUUCCUGACAAUGGACUCUCGGGCGACUCCUAAAUCCCACAUGGUCUUCCCUCUGACCUGUACCUCGUAGUAAGAUCUCCCUGAGGAGAAUCCUUCCUUCCCCAGCACACAGGGACAGCGAUUAAACCGCUCAGGGUUAUCAGGGUAACUCUGUACACAGUCUCCACAUGUCACUUGUUUUCUAUCUUCAGACAAAAUGAGAAAAGUUCCUUCAAGAGUAUGACCAACAUUGACUGGCACAGUGAUUCAUGGAUGCUUAUGAUACUUCACUGAUGCACUGUGAGGAUAAUGGUGAUGGGGGAAAAAAAAGAAGAAGAUCAGAAUUCAAAUCAUUUGCUUUGGUCAGAUGAUGUCAAAAUCAGACUUUUUUUUGUGUGUAAACAUCAGCAGCAUGCUAGGUGAAAAAAUGAGGAAUGCAUACAAGGAACAUCAUCCAAACCCACUCUGAAAUAUGGAGGUGGAGGCUUUCACCGAUGCUUUGGGGCUGUUUAGUGGUUUGCAGUCCAGGGACCCUUGUGAAAAUUAGUUGGGUCAUAAAAUCUUCUAAGUACCAGGAUAGUCUGGCUUAAAAGACUUGCCCAUAAACAUUUAGAGAUAUUAUCUUUCGAGAUUUUAUAAAUCAAUCCAAAUAUGGGUGUUUUGCAGUAGAAAUUUUGAAAAGGACAGUCCACAUGCACAACCAUCAGAAUAUAAAGAAGUUCUGCAUGGAUGUUCGGCAUGGCGGAUCCAGGAUUCGCUAUAAAUGUACCUAGCCUUGUUCGUCAUUAAAGGAAGAGGCUCGGUUUUGUUAUUCUCACCAAGAGAUGCUUUACGAAAUAUUAACUGUGAGAAAAUGUCUGAGAAAAAGACUGUUCAAAUGAAACAGCACAU
Molecule: long non-coding RNA, 1121 nt
Organism: Ictalurus furcatus (blue catfish)
Lineage: Eukaryota; Metazoa; Chordata; Actinopteri; Siluriformes; Ictaluridae
Exons: 3
Source: RefSeq, a predicted model, not a curated record